GACGAACGCUGGCGGCGUGCUUAACACAUGCAAGUCGAACGAAGUGGCGAACGGGUGAGUAACGCGUAAUCAACCUGCCCUUCAGAGGGGGACAACAGUUGGAAACGACUGCUAAUACCGCAUACUGAAGGAGGGGAUUGCGUCUGAUUAGCUAGUUGGAGGGGUAACGGCCCACCAAGGCGAUGAUCAGUAGCCGGUCUGAGAGGAUGAUCAGUCACAUUGGAACUGAGACACGGUCCAAACUCCUACGGGAGGCAGCAGUAGGGAAUAUUGCGCAAUGGGGGAAACCCUGACGCAGCAACGCCGCGUGGAGGAUGACACUUUUCGGAGCGUAAACUCCUUUUGUUAGGGAAGCGGUACCUAACGAAUAAGCACCGGCUAACUCCGUGCCAGCCGCCGCGGUAAUAC
Molecule: ribosomal RNA, 408 nt
Filed under: uncultured bacterium
Lineage: Bacteria
Description: partial 16S ribosomal RNA
Rfam family: Bacterial small subunit ribosomal RNA
Source: RNAcentral